RNAcentral lists this ribosomal RNA (497 nucleotides) under Glutinomyces inflatus. RNAcentral's name for it is "eukaryotic LSU rRNA". It matches the Rfam family "Eukaryotic large subunit ribosomal RNA", at positions 48 to 548 of the family's 3401-position model. The record is from RNAcentral. Lineage: Eukaryota; Fungi; Ascomycota; Leotiomycetes; Helotiales; Hyphodiscaceae.
AAGCGGAGGAAAAGAAACCAACAGGGAUUGCCUCAGUAACGGCGAGUGAAGCGGCAACAGCUCAAAUUUGAAAUCUGGCUCUUUUAGGGUCCGAGUUGUAAUUUGUAGAAGAUGCUUCGGGUGUGGCUCCGGUCUAAGUUCCUUGGAACAGGACGUCAUAGAGGGUGAGAAUCCCGUAUGUGACUGGCUGCCUUCGCCUAUGUGAAGCUCUUUCGACGAGUCGAGUUGUUUGGGAAUGCAGCUCAAAAUGGGUGGUAAAUUUCAUCUAAAGCUAAAUAUUGGCCAGAGACCGAUAGCGCACAAGUAGAGUGAUCGAAAGAUGAAAAGCACUUUGGAAAGAGAGUUAAACAGUACGUGAAAUUGUUGAAAGGGAAGCGCUUGCAACCAGACUUGCAUACGGUUAAUCAUCCGGUGUUCUCACUGGUGCACUUGACCGUGUUCAGGCCAGCAUCGGUUCAGGUGGUAGGAUAAAGGCCUUGGGAAUGUAGCUUCUUUCG